UAUUACAAGAGGAAACGGAAAUCGUAGAACACCAGAGCAUUGAAAUACAUUGAGUACUGUACUUACAAAUCCCAUUCACACAAACUGAAUUAAAAGAGCUAAACCACAAUCAACAACAAGAGAAAAUAUGAAUUUUAGGACUCAUUUGAUUAAGCAUCCGGCCAUGCAUCUUGCUCUAGUAGUAGUUCACUUUCCUGCAGUUGACGCGGACCUCGCCUUGGUUCCCGACGAGCGGGC
This 237-nucleotide long non-coding RNA is filed under the name Oryza brachyantha (malo sina). RNAcentral describes it as "long non-coding RNA (OBRA_LNC003580)". Lineage: Eukaryota; Viridiplantae; Streptophyta; Magnoliopsida; Poales; Poaceae. The record is from RNAcentral.